UGUAUUGGUUGAACAACAAAACGACCCUUAUUUAUUGUUACCCUGGCAACCCGCCGUGUUUGAUUGACGUUUGAUUUAAUAAUUCUGAUACAACUCAUAAUUCUAAUCUAAUAGAAACUCCAAAACCUCAGACAAAGAGGACUAGAAUUUUACAUAAAAAGCCGCGUUCUGCAGUACAAAAGUUAGAAGAGGCAUCUCAAAUAGUGGAAAGUGCCAAACUCCGCAACACGGUAGUGUUCCAGUGUUUCCAGGAAGAGCACGAAA
Pieris napi is the source of this 264-nucleotide long non-coding RNA. RefSeq lists it as uncharacterized. NCBI's taxonomy places the organism in Eukaryota, Metazoa, Arthropoda, Insecta, Lepidoptera, Pieridae. The transcript is spliced from 3 exons. The record is from RefSeq and is a predicted model, not a curated record.